This 66-nucleotide small nucleolar RNA is filed under the name Euglena gracilis. RNAcentral describes it as "AGA box snoRNA". Lineage: Eukaryota; Euglenozoa; Euglenophyceae; Euglenales; Euglenaceae. The record is from RNAcentral.
UUCGGGCAUCUUUAAGAUCCAUCGGUGCAAUCGUCACCAACGGGUCGAGUCAGUGCCCGCAGAUCC